Molecule: ribosomal RNA, 468 nt
Filed under: uncultured bacterium
Lineage: Bacteria
Description: partial 16S ribosomal RNA
Rfam family: Bacterial small subunit ribosomal RNA
Source: RNAcentral
GACGAACGCUGGCGGCGUGCUUAACACAUGCAAGUCGAACGGAAAGGCCCUGCUUUUGUGGGGUGCUCGAGUGGCGAACGGGUGAGUAACACGUGAGUAACCUGCCCUUGACUUUGGGAUAACUUCAGGAAACUGGGGCUAAUACCGGAUAGGAGCUCCUGCUGCAUGGUGGGGGUUGGAAAGUUUCGGCGGUUGGGGAUGGACUCGCGGCUUAUCAGCUUGUUGGUGGGGUAGUGGCUUACCAAGGCUUUGACGGGUAGCCGGCCUGAGAGGGUGACCGGCCACAUUGGGACUGAGAUACGGCCCAGACUGCUACGGGAGGCAGCAGUGGGGAACAUUGCACAAUGGGCGGAAGCCUGAUGCAGCAACGCCGCGUGCGGGAUGACGGCCUUCGGGUUGUAAACCGCUUUCGCCUGUGACGAAGCGUGAGUGACGGUAAUGGGUAAAGAAGCACCGGCUAACUACGUG